RNAcentral lists this ribosomal RNA (109 nucleotides) under Carassius auratus (goldfish). The record is from RNAcentral. Lineage: Eukaryota; Metazoa; Chordata; Actinopteri; Cypriniformes; Cyprinidae.
GCUUACGGCCAUACCAACCUGGCUAUGCCCGAUCUCGUCUGAUCUCGGAAGCUAAGCAGGUUUGGGCCUGGGAUGGGAGACCGCCUGGGAAUACCAGGUGCUGUAAGCU